UACGGAGGAUGCGAGCGUUAUCCGGAUUUAUUGGGUUUAAAGGGUGCGCAGGCGGAUUUUUAAGUCAGCGGUCAAAUCGUGGGGCUCAACCCCAUCCAGCCGUUGAAACUGGGGAUCUAGAGUGUGCGAGAGGUAUGCGGAAUGCGUGGUGUAGCGGUGAAAUGCAUAGAUAUCACGCAGAACCCCGAUUGCGAAGGCAGCAUACCGGUGCACAACUGACGCUCAGGCACGAAAGCGUGAGUAUCGAACAGG
RNAcentral lists this ribosomal RNA (252 nucleotides) under uncultured bacterium. RNAcentral describes it as "partial 16S ribosomal RNA". It matches the Rfam family "Bacterial small subunit ribosomal RNA", at positions 524 to 776 of the family's 1533-position model. The record is from RNAcentral.